GAGAAUCAAGGGAGGGGCACAACUACGCAGAGAGCUUCUGAGCGCACCCAAGAGACGGAGGCGGCGGGUGGCGAGUUGGCGGCUACGUGGUGGCGAGUUGGCGGCAUCGAGGAAUAUUUACCGAGGGCGGAGCGUUCGAGCGAGGUUACGGGUACGGGUAGUGCGUCGCGGGUGUGCGCGAUCAUCCAGGCCUGCUCCACUACGACCACCAAACGCUCCGUGGGAGCCGCGCCGAACCAAGUGUCGCCUGGCGCUUCGUCUCGACACGCCGCUACCGCUGCUGGUCGUGUCCCGUGCGCACUGUGGCGCUGUUGUUGGUGCACCGGUACCUCCCCGAGUGCGUCGCGCGCCGCCACGCGCCGAUCCGCCUGGAGCGCGACGCCGCCGCCGUCCACGCACGAUCGGUACCGGUACUCUCCCCUAAACGCCGCACUGACGCCGUACUCCGUCGCCCCUAGAGGGUUGGAGAGGAUGGGGGGGAGGACUACACCCUUUGGUACCUAAUGGCCAAAAAACGACUUAGAAAUCAGCACAUCUUUGCCGCAGUGCCGACCCUGCGCUGCCACGCCGGUGGCCGCGGGACGUAGGAGGUGUCCACAGCGUACGAAUACGGGGACGGGGGAAGGAAGCCGGCAGGUCUGGCGGAGGCAGAGUCGGCCACCUACAGGUAUACGGCUUAUUGCUCACGCCGCCGCUAGUGCCAGACGGGGCGAGGCGGUCAGGAGGCAGUGAAGAAGGCGACCGAAUGAUGAUGAGUACGUCCACCUCAAGUUGUACCUUCUCGAACGGUACCGGGUUCGUAGUAAGACCCGCAUCGACGGGUGGAGGUACACUGCUAACGAGGUUGCGUCUGGUUCACAAGCAGCAUUACAGUCUCGCCGGUGUCACUACUCCUAUGUAGUCAAGCACUACUCGAAGCUACAGACACAUCACGGCCUUCUACCGCUGGUCAUCGCCCGCGAGCGCGUGACGAAGACCCUACUGUGUUGGUUCUGAUUAUUCCUACUUCUAGUACAAGUAUAAAGGUUACCCAAGCAAGGUCACCAUACCUGCGCCGCUCCGUUAAAUAAUUCAAACGUCCUCGUCGGCGACGCAUGAUAGGGUGUGAGAGACAGCUGUCUGGUGGAAGAAGGUGCGGCUGCGGCCAGCGGCCCCAUGCCAGGGUAGGUAGCGGUACGUUCUCGCGAGAUUAGGGGAUCUGUCAUGACGAGUGUCGUCAACGUCCGCGCCUGCGUAACGGGAGUCGGCACCUACGGCGACAGGGCAUGGUUCCUACACGUCCGUACAAAAUCUAAUACUAACACGUUUCCUUAUACAAUCUUUUACUGCCAGACGUUACCACAUGGGUUUAUGACUUGUAGAAGACUAAAAUGACCUUCUAACUACACCUGUAACUACAAUAACGUGACCGUCGACUAAAAAAAGGGAAGUGUAAAAACUUCUGACCUAAAAGUCGUCGUGACGUGAUAAUUAAUCGAAAGACGUACACUGAACACUAACGUCGACUACUUCGGUAGUUGGUAACCUCCGUGCCCUAACAGCUCGGGUUCCAAGCAGUGGGAACAAAAGAUUUCCCUUCGAUUUCAACCCCAACGGUUAGAGGCUCCUAAAAGAGUUGCCAACUUUUCAAACUAGUGACUCCUUACCCCUAAUGUCAGUGUCUAGUAAGCCAAUAAAGAGAACGACCACGGAGGCGACUUUCACUACGUAGAUAUAUGUUGGUAUAUAUAUUCAAACGGACAAGUUAGUCUUCUAACAUAAUCGAUAAUUCAGUAUCAAGUUGGAAGCUUAUAUGUCAAAACCGAGUCAUCAAACUCGGAGGCAACGCGUUGACCUAGUACCAUCUGUAGGUCUGGACGUCGACACAAAAUAAAACAAUAGGAAAAAUCUUUGACUGUGCGACGGAAACAACGGAUUUAGGCACGAAAUUAAUUUACUAUUUAAAUGAUAUUUCUAAAAAAGAAACUGAGAAUAUACUUUUUUAACAUGCUUGUACACUAGCGAUAGGUCUAAUCAGUCCAGUAGGACGUUUAUUGACACCCUAUGUAAUGACUGUGAAUGAGUUAGUAACAUCACUUUAUUAUGUUCUACCACUUGUGGAGCCUACGUCGAGUUUCUAGUUUAUAGUACUAUAUCUCAACAGAAGUUCGGUAUCUUCGUGGUAACUCGGGACCUCGACACCGCUGUCGCGGCAUGGUCGGUGGCAGCAGGAGAAGGUACGGGACCGGUAGGUCCUCCUCACGGUGCCGAUAGCGUCAAGAGGGGUACCGUAGGGCCUACCGUAGGAGGCCCUACAACUAGCACAGGAACGUGGCCGCCGUCGGCCUCGGACCAUGCAGGUCUCUCCGUACCGGAACCUAACCUCGUAACGUCCGUAGCUAGGUGAAGCACCAUCGGUACCCCAUCCCACCGCAUCUCGAGUCGGCGCACUCGACGUCAAGUGGUCAAGUAAGGAGUGGACAUUCGGAUCGUUCUUCCUUUUACCAAACACGAUAUAUAUGCUGACUUGACCUGUUAACGUAUCUUACAUCUAUAAACGUGUAGACUAAAGAAAACACAUCAGACCCAUGAGAAGGGGUACCACAAUUUUUAUAUAUACAAACACUCCAACAUACUGAUUGCACUAAAACAUUGUGUGAUUCAAUUGGGUUUGACCGAACUUAAACAACCAAUAAACCGGAACGGACUUGUACCAACCACU
This 2701-nucleotide ribosomal RNA is filed under the name Triticum aestivum (bread wheat). RNAcentral's name for it is "partial small subunit ribosomal RNA". Lineage: Eukaryota; Viridiplantae; Streptophyta; Magnoliopsida; Poales; Poaceae. The record is from RNAcentral.